CACUGCAUUUCCCCUAGUACGGCGAGUGAAGAGGGAAGAGCCCAAGAUUGAAAGCUGGCGCCUUCGGCGUCCGCAUUGUAAUCUCAAGAAGUGUUUUCCGCUUCGGACCAUGCCUAAGUCCCUUGGAAAAGGGCAUCAUAGAGGGUGAUAAUCCCGUACAUGGCAUGGAGCGCCCGAAGCUUUGUGAUACGCUUUCUAAGAGUCGAGUUGUUUGGGAAUGCAGCUCAAAAUGGGUGGUAAAUGCCAUCUAAGGCUAAAUAUUGGGGAGAGACCGAUAGCGAACAAGUACAGUGAUGGAAAGAUGAAAAGAACUUUGAAAAGAGAGUUAAACAGUACGUGAAAUUGCCAAAAGGGAAGGGUAGGAGGUCAGAGAUGCGUCGCAGGAUUCAGCCUUGCUUUUGCUUGGUGUUUUUCCUGCGUUGCAGGCCAACGUCGGUUUUGGGCACUGGAGAAGGGUAGGAGGAACGUGGCACCUCUCGGGGUGUGUUAUAGCCUCCUACUGGAUACAGCGACCGAGACCGAGGAACGCAGCGUACUCGUAAGAGCGGGCCUUUUGGCACCUUUACGCUUAGGGCGUUGGCAUAAUGGCCCUCUACCACCCGUCUUGAAACACGGACCCA
RNAcentral lists this ribosomal RNA (620 nucleotides) under Pseudozyma hubeiensis. RNAcentral describes it as "eukaryotic LSU rRNA". It matches the Rfam family "Eukaryotic large subunit ribosomal RNA", at positions 67 to 669 of the family's 3401-position model. The record is from RNAcentral. Lineage: Eukaryota; Fungi; Basidiomycota; Ustilaginomycetes; Ustilaginales; Ustilaginaceae.